UAUUAAGCUACUACCACUAUCACUACUAUAAAAGAAAAAAGAAAGGAAAAAAAAAAAGCACACACAAGAUCCAAAAUGAAAACCUUCCAAAACAUUCCUCCUCCCACCACCCAACUCCAACAAACCACAGGGAGACACAUUUGGACCCUUCAAUAUAAUCAAUACUAAGUCCAUCAGGGGAGAGAGUAGUCUCCCUUGCACCACAGACCCCCAGGAAACACAGCUGCCACUCCUUGUGUUUCCAUGUCACACAUGGCACCGCCUGGAGAAAAAAGUUUGCCAGUGUGACCCUCUCCUUUCCAUGCACAGUGCUCUCACCACCGAUGCAUGGAUGGACAGACUGCUUUUAGGAUUUUUUCCUUUCAAGGAUACUCUGCCAAGAGGGAAAAAACAACAGUUCAGUUUUUCAUUUUUUGGGACCAUAGUCCCCCCCAUUUUCUUCCUCCCCUGGGGCCGAGGGUCUCAGGAACAGAGAUCUUCUCUUCUUCUUCUCUGAAGACGGGGGGCACCACCACAAACCUCCCCAACUUUUCUCUGUUCGCUCCACUCCUGUGUUUUCCUCAGCUGCUGAAGCAGGUCUCUUGGCUCACCAGCAUCGUCCUAAAAUACAGUCUCUCUCUUGGAGGAGAAAAUCAGUUCAGUCUAUGGCUAACAAGAAAAAGUCCAGCCAGAAGCCACUCCAUCAUCUCCUUCCACCCAGAAUUUCUCCUUCUAACAUCUCGGGUCCCAGGCUGUCUCUCUUCCUCUCUUUCAAGCCGAGGAGGAGUAAAGUUUCACAAAGCUUUCAUUUCUCAAGGGAGGGUUAAAAGUCCCGACUCCCUGGCUGGCUCUCUGCCCCCAUCUCCAGUCCAGCUCCCACGCUGGCACCUUGGGGCCCUGGGCCCCCCCCGCUCUCCUCCUUCCCCGCGGUACUGCUGGCAGACCGUCACUGUCUCUUUCGAGAGAGAGACUCUGGGGGGGAAUGGAGACAUCCCAGAUGUUUUCCACCCUUCCAUCUGCAGGGGCCAGCCCGGUUCCAGUCCCUCCACCCUUCGGCCUUACCUCAGCCAGGCCUCGGGCCUUCCCCUCCCCUGCCCAGCGAAGAGCCGGGCAGGGGAGAGUCCCGCACUGCACCCUGACCGGAACCAAAGAGAGCGAGUUCCCCUGGGAAUUCUGCUUUUAACCCCUCUGUGUUCUCAGAGGCGUGUCCACCCUCCAUUGGUCACCCUAAGUGUCAAUAUCCAAAUUGACCUCUUCCUUCCAAGAAGAUUCUUUUUCCGUGUCAAACCACGACAAUAG
Molecule: long non-coding RNA, 1278 nt
Filed under: Chloebia gouldiae (Gouldian finch)
Lineage: Eukaryota; Metazoa; Chordata; Aves; Passeriformes; Passeridae
Description: Erythrura gouldiae (Gouldian finch) lncRNA (ENSEGOG00005015875.1)
Source: RNAcentral